AACGAACGCUGGCGGCAGGCCUAACACAUGCAAGUCGAACGGACCCUUCGGGGUUAGUGGCGCACGGGUGCGGAACACGUGGGAAUGUACCCCUGGGUAAGGAAUAAUGUCUGGAAACGGGCACUAAUACCUUAUAAUGACUUCGGUCCAAAGAUUUAUCGCCCAGGGAUCAGCCCGCGUCUGAUUAGAUAGUUGGUAGGGUAAUGGCCUACCAAGUCUACGAUCAGUAGCUGGUCUGAGAGGAUGAUCAGCCACACUGGUACUGAGACACGGACCAGACUCCUACGGGAGGCAGCAGUGAGGAAUAUUGCGCAAUGGAGGAAACUCUGACGCAGCCAUGCCGCGUGAGUGAAGAAGGCCUUAGGGUUGUAAAGCUCUUUCAAUAGUGAAGAUUAUGACGGUAGCUAUAGAAGAAGCCCCGGCUAAAUUCG
This 431-nucleotide ribosomal RNA is filed under the name uncultured Alphaproteobacteria bacterium. Its description in RNAcentral is "bacterial SSU rRNA". It matches the Rfam family "Bacterial small subunit ribosomal RNA", at positions 29 to 505 of the family's 1533-position model. The record is from RNAcentral. Lineage: Bacteria; Pseudomonadati; Pseudomonadota; Alphaproteobacteria.